RNAcentral lists this ribosomal RNA (253 nucleotides) under uncultured bacterium. RNAcentral describes it as "partial 16S ribosomal RNA". It matches the Rfam family "Bacterial small subunit ribosomal RNA", at positions 524 to 776 of the family's 1533-position model. The record is from RNAcentral.
UCCGAAGGGGGCUAGCGUUGCUCGGAAUCACUGGGCGUAAAGGGUGCGUAGGCGGGUCUUUAAGUCCGGGGUGAAAUCCUGGAGCUCAACUCCAGAACUGCCUUUGAUACUGAAGAUCUUGAGUUCGGGAGAGGUGAGUGGAACUGCGAGUGUAGAGGUGAAAUUCGUAGAUAUUCGCAAGAACACCAGUGGCGAAGGCGGCUCACUGGCCCGAUACUGACGCUGAGGCACGAAAGCGUGGGGAGCAAACAGG